RNAcentral lists this long non-coding RNA (2384 nucleotides) under Daphnia pulex (common water flea). RNAcentral describes it as "uncharacterized LOC124193693, transcript variant X1". Lineage: Eukaryota; Metazoa; Arthropoda; Branchiopoda; Diplostraca; Daphniidae. The record is from RNAcentral.
AAAAAAGCCGCAAGGCAUAAGAGGAAGGGUGAGAAAAAGUCGUAUAAAAAGCGAGAGAAAAUUUGACAGGGAUCAGUCGAGCGAGUAUCUCCGACACGGCAAAAGCUGCAUUCUUCGUCGUAAUAUCAGUUCGGUAUCAUGGUUAGUUAUGGUGUUGUGUUGCUGUUGGGUGUCGUAUCGUUGAUGUCGACCACGAGAGAAAAUCUUACUAAAGGAAAGAGAAAGGGCAACAGAAGUCAAUCGAGUGAGCAUCUCCGACCCGGCAACAUCUGCAUUCUUUCGUCGUAUCAUCAGGUCGCAAUUACGGGUAAAUAUUCUGUAUUUCUACGUGGAAUUUUGUAUAAAUUUCUAUUUUUUCUAUCUGAUAAUCUGUCCGCUAUUGUUGAAUAUUUCAUAUUGUCUGGUUAACUAUGCCGUCGUGGCGUCGUGCUGCUAUUGGAUGUUGUAUCGUCGAUGGCUGGGUCGACCACUGGUGUACCGAUGUCUCCUGGAUCUGCAACUGCAACGCCGCCGCCUUACUACACAACAAUAUACGCAACGACCAGUUACUACACCGAGGUUGCACAGUUUGGUUUACAGUUAAACCACCAAGGAUCCAGAUUAUUACACCACAACUAGUGUUGCUCCUCGAGCUACACUACCAAAGCGUUAGAAUACUACACCGAGGCUCCUAAGUACUACACCACCAACGCACCUGAGACUACGCAACUACGUAUGCUGCCCCAACCUACGACACCGAGGCUUCAGCUUAUUACACCACCAAAGCUGUCGAAUACUACACAGGAGCGCCCAAGUACGAUAGAAAUCAGUCGAGUGAGCUUCUCCGACACCCAACACGACAGCCCCGAAGUUUCGAAUAAACUUCGCUUUAAACAGUGGAACGGCAAACAGUGAAGAAUUCUACUGCAAUCGCGUCGAAUUGAAUAGCAAAGAUAACACAUUCGUACGUGUACACCGCGCCGUUAAACUUGACAUGGUUGGUCGGAAAGAAAAACUUAACGAUGGCGGUACCAUCACCUACGACAAGUGCGUUAUUGCCACAGGUGGUAAACGAAAAUCUUUUCCAAUCCCUGUGCGGUGCCCUUAAAGAUGCUCACGAGCACGUAACGCUGUUCCGCAACAUCGAUGGCGGUAACAUAGGCCGAGUUCUCCCUAAAUAUUUAAGCUAAUGGAUAACCGAGAAGGUGAAAGCGGAAAGUGUUAAUGUGUUGCCCAAAGCUAAUGUUGAGGUUGCAAUUUUAGACGACUACAAGGUCGCAUUGACCUUAAACGAUGGUCAAAAGCAGAUUUAAACCGAGUCGUCGCUGCUGUCGGUUGGGACGCAAACACGGAUUUGGCUGUCGCUUUUGGUUUGGAAAUAAAUUCCAAUUUUGGUGGUUAUUGAGUCAAUACCGAGCUUGAAGCACGAUCGAACGUCUGGUUGGGUCGUGCUGUUGCCGUUUGUCGUAUCGUUGAAGGUUGGGUCGAUCACUGGUGUACCCAUGUCUCCUGGUUAUGGUGGAUACCAAAGCACCACGCCGUCGCCUUGGUGACCGGGCCACAAUUACUACACCACCAAGGCUCCAGAGUAUUACACCGCAGCUAAUGCUGCCCCAAGCUAAAUCACCAAAGAUCUUGAGUACUGCACCGAGGCUCCCAAGUACUACACUACCAAGUCAGUACUACACGUAUGUUGCCCCAGCUUAUACACCGAGGCUCCCAAGUAUUACUCAGUUCCUAGCUACUACACCGAGGCUUCAACUUAUUACACCACCAAAGCGGCUGAAUAUUACACCGAGCCGCCCGAGUACUACACCAACAAGGCUCCAGAGUAUUACACCACAACUUGUGCUUCCCCGAGCCGCUACACCGAAGCCCCGAAGUAUUACUCUGCCCAAUGCUACACAACUACAAUUGAGGCGUCCAAAUAUUACGCAGCCCCGACUUACUACACAGCGGCUGCUCCUUCGUACUACGUUGAAUCGGAAUACUACACCUAGGCUUCAGUUUACUACACCACAACCUACGCUACACCUAGCUACUACACCGAGGCCCCUAUGUACACCACGUUUUCUUAUUUUGGUUGGGUUUUUCCUAUUUCGCAUGUUGGAGGUGACUAUUGCUCUAGUCGCUCCGCAUUCCGACAUAUUCUAGUGUUUGGACAAAUUUCAUUUACAGGGCAAGUUGCGAAAGAAACGUACUGUGUGGUGUUUACUAAAAUUUUUUGAUGUUGACAGCUCUCUUUUUAACUUAAGUUGGCGUAACAAGAGUUGCAAAUAGUGUGUGGUUUAUCAUAGAAGUUUUAUUUGAAAAAUCUGAAGUUGAUCAGUCGCUUGCCUAUAACUUAUGUAAAACUUCAAAGUUGUAAAAAAUAUACAAGUCGUGUACUAAACAUUUUCUUAUUA